CGGGGCGUAGCGCAGAGGCAGGCGCGCCGGUCUCCAAAACCGGAACACGCUGGUUCGAAUCCAGCCGCCCCGC
Molecule: transfer RNA, 73 nt
Filed under: Streptomyces caniscabiei
Lineage: Bacteria; Bacillati; Actinomycetota; Actinomycetes; Kitasatosporales; Streptomycetaceae
Also listed under: 3 other names
Description: tRNA-Trp
Rfam family: tRNA
About the family: Transfer RNA (tRNA) molecules are approximately 80 nucleotides in length. Their secondary structure includes four short double-helical elements and three loops (D, anti-codon, and T loops).
Source: RNAcentral